Molecule: ribosomal RNA, 253 nt
Filed under: uncultured bacterium
Lineage: Bacteria
Description: partial 16S ribosomal RNA
Rfam family: Bacterial small subunit ribosomal RNA
Source: RNAcentral
UACGAAGGGAGCUAGCGUUGUUCGGAAUCACUGGGCGUAAAGCGCGCGCAGGUGGCUAUUCAAGUUAGGAGUGAAAGCCUGGGGCUUAACCCCAGAACUGCUCUUAAGACUGAGAAGCUAGAGUGCGGGAGAGGAUAGCGGAAUUCCGUGUGUAGAGGUGAAAUUCGUAGAUAUACGGAGGAACACCAAUGGCGAAGGCAGCUAUCUGGAACGUAACUGACACUGAGGCGCGAAAGUGUGGGGAUCAAACAGG